CAUGUCCUUUUGAGAAUGAUUUAAGGUCUAACCUGCCCAGUGAUUGAUUUUAUGAAUAUUAAAUGGCCGCGGUAUUUUGACCGUGCGAAGGUAGCAUAAUAAUUAGCUUUUUAAUUGAAGGCUGGAAUGAAUGGUUGAACGAGAAAAUUUCUGUCUCUUUUUUGAUUUGAUUAGAACUUAAUUUUUAAGUAAAAAAGCUUAAAUUUUUUUUAUAGACGAGAAGACCCUAUAGAGUUUAAUAUUUAAAUUUUAUUUUUAAUUUUAGAAUUUAUUUUAAAUUAAAAUUUUAAGUAUUUGGUUGGGGUGACAAAAAGACUUAAUUAACUCUUUUUAAAUUUAAACACUAAUUUGUGAAUGUUUGAUCCAUUUUUUGUGAAUAAAAGAUAAAAUUACCUUAGGGAUAACAGCGUUAUUUUUUCAGAGAGUUCAAAUCGAUGAAAGAAAUUGCGACCUCGAUGUUGGAUUAAAGUUAAUUUUAGGAGCAAAAGCUUAAAUAUUAGGUCUGUUCGACCUUUAAAACUUUACAUGAUCUGAGU
This 536-nucleotide ribosomal RNA is filed under the name Pomatinus substriatus. RNAcentral's name for it is "partial 16S ribosomal RNA". It matches the Rfam family "Archaeal large subunit ribosomal RNA", at positions 1908 to 2679 of the family's 2987-position model. The record is from RNAcentral. Lineage: Eukaryota; Metazoa; Arthropoda; Insecta; Coleoptera; Dryopidae.